CCCCUCCCCCACCCACGGCUCCGCCCCCUGGGACCCCCCCAAGGGUGAGGAUUGGCCACACCCCUACGAGGAGGUGGAGCCUUGGGGGGGCUACGAGGAGGUGCCCCCGGAGCCCCUCGUGACCCCCCAGGGGGAGCUCGUCUGAGGGGGGGAGGGGCCAAAAACAGGCCCCGCCCACCCCCAACAACCCCCUCCCACUCUCAAUAAGCUCCUCCCACCACCACAAACCCCUCCCACUCAAAUAAGCCCCUCCCACCCC
Molecule: long non-coding RNA, 259 nt
Organism: Pseudopipra pipra
Lineage: Eukaryota; Metazoa; Chordata; Aves; Passeriformes; Pipridae
Exons: 3
Source: RefSeq, a predicted model, not a curated record